UUGUGCUGUGAAAUAUUUUUGUGCCUUGAAAAUUAUCUCCUGUCUUUUCAGAUUGCUAAAUAUUUCAGGGCUUUACUUUGUUUGCUUGAGGAACGCAUCUCUGGACACAUCUCACUGACUUCAAGACAGAGGUUCCUAGGAUGACAAGGAAUAUCCAGGAUUGUUUCAGCUUCUUCAUAAUGCUGUCACCCUCAAAGGAGGUCUCCUGGAUACUGAGGCUCGAUUUUGGACUACGGAGAGCUCCAUUAAAGCCUUACAGACAUGGGAAGUCUUGAGCAGCAUCCAUUUUGCAGUUGUGUUUUCUUGCAACUCCACCGACAACAGGGUGCACCGAUGGUCUGAUUACGUUUCCCUCAAUUACCUGAGACUUGCAUGCCAGAUCGAGAAUAGAUCUUUCCUAUUUAGAAACCCCAGGGACUAAGCUGGGGAGCCUGCCUUGAUGGGGAAGAUGCAUCAAUUAUGGGACCUGACAAAAUGUGUCUUCAAGCAGAACUUCCGAUUCCCUCCAAGACGUCUUUGCAAAAUGGGAAACGGACUCCGGUGCUUCAUGAAGAGUAAUUACUUGCCUGUCCAUGUGGUGUGUUCCUCUUUUAUGACUCAGGGAGGAUGUGCGGGGAAGUGUCCCGUUGCUGCUGAUGGAACGGAUCUUCUAUCAAAACUGCCCUGGAUUGAGAUUAACUUUACCUGCUGAGCGUUGCAAAAUUUAUCUCCCUGCCCUCUGACCGUCAUCUAUCAGCAGCC
Molecule: long non-coding RNA, 741 nt
Organism: Sceloporus undulatus (fence lizard)
Lineage: Eukaryota; Metazoa; Chordata; Lepidosauria; Squamata; Phrynosomatidae
Exons: 3
Source: RefSeq, a predicted model, not a curated record